RNAcentral lists this ribosomal RNA (257 nucleotides) under uncultured bacterium. Its description in RNAcentral is "partial 16S ribosomal RNA". It matches the Rfam family "Bacterial small subunit ribosomal RNA", at positions 524 to 777 of the family's 1533-position model. The record is from RNAcentral.
UACGAAGGGGGCGAGCGUUGUUCGGAAUUACUGGGCGUAAAGGGCGCGCAGGCGGCUCUGAAAGUCAGAUGUGAAAGCCCCGGGCUUAAACCUGGGAAUUGCCAUUUGAUACUCUGGAGCUUGAGUACGGGAGAGGAGGAGUGGAAUUCCCAGUGUAGAGGUGAAAUUCGUAGAUAUUGGGAAGAACACCAGUGGCGAAGGCGACUCGCUGGACAAGUAUUGACGCUGAGGUGCGAAAGCGUGGGGAGCAAACAGGG